RNAcentral lists this transfer RNA (65 nucleotides) under Laemobothrion maximum. RNAcentral's name for it is "tRNA-Tyr". The record is from RNAcentral. Lineage: Eukaryota; Metazoa; Arthropoda; Insecta; Psocodea; Laemobothriidae.
UUUCAAAGUAGUAAAAUUAAUUACAUUAAGCUGUAAACUUAAAACUAGGACCACCUCUUUGAAAA